AGGNUCUUAAAGCCUGGCCAAUGUUUCAUGGCAUUUGAGUGGUGCAUCACUGAUUAUUUUGAUCCUAAAAAUCAAGAACAUCACAAGAUUAAGGCAGAAAUUGAGAUUGGUGAUGGCCUUCCAGACAUCAGGUACACCAGACAAUGCCUUGAAGCUCUGAAACAAGCUGGUUUUGAGUUAAUGGCUAUUGCUGCAGAACCUGAUUUUAGGUGCAAAGAUAUGAAAUGUGCUUCUUUAUCUGCAGAACCUGAUUUUAGUGUGUUGGGUAAGCGACUUGGUAAAUCACUGGGAGUUGUUGCCAAGGAAGUCAAAGCAAUGACUCAAGGAGAUAUCUUAGCUUUUGAGAAAGCUAGCUGGAGAAGUAACUAUUGCUACACACUGUUGGAAGCUGACUGAUAUUAAGGUUGUGCGGGAAUUCAAAUGUCCUGAUGGUAUGACUGAAAAGGAUAUUGAUGCAGCUGGAGAUAUUCCUAGGGAAAGAAAUAUACACAGAUGCGGAGAUCGAUGAUGAAGUUAAGAGGAGAAUGGGCGAUGUACGUAUCAAACUUUUUUAAGUUAUUGAUGUUUCAUUGAUGUCAAAGCAUCAACGAGGGAAAAAAAAAGUAUUAAAACUUUUGUUGAAUGAUAUAUUAUUAUUGUUGAAUUUCGUUUACUUAAUCAGUAUGGUUCAAAGAUUGUUGAAUGUUUAAAUUUAUUUAUGAAU
This is an RNA transcript of Pistacia vera, 703 nucleotides long. It is a transcript of the gene named isoleucine--tRNA ligase, cytoplasmic-like, with no coding region annotated. Lineage: Eukaryota; Viridiplantae; Streptophyta; Magnoliopsida; Sapindales; Anacardiaceae. The transcript has 6 exons. The record is from RefSeq and is a predicted model, not a curated record.